GAUGAACGCUGGCGGCGUGCCUAAUACAUGCAAGUCGAGCGAACAGACGAGGAGCUUGCUCCUCUGACGUUAGCGGCGGACGGGUGAGUAACACGUGGAUAACCUACCUAUAAGACUGGGAUAACUUCGGGAAACCGGAGCUAAUACCGGAUAAUAUAUUGAACCGCAUGGUUCAAUAGUGAAAGACGGUUUUGCUGUCACUUAUAGAUGGAUCCGCGCCGCAUUAGCUAGUUGGUAAGGUAACGGCUUACGAAGGCAACGAUGCGUAGCCGACCUCAGAGAGUGAUCGGCCACACUGGAACUGAGCCACGGUCCAGACUCCUACGGGAGGCAGCAGUAGGGAAUCUUCCGCAAUGGGCGAAAGCCUGACGGAGCAACGCCGCGUGAGUGAUGAAGGUCUUCGGAUCGUAAAGCUCUGUUAUUAGUGAAGAACAAAUGUGUAAGUAACUAUGCACGUCUUGACGGUACCUAAUCAGAAAGCCACGGCUAACUACGUG
RNAcentral lists this ribosomal RNA (497 nucleotides) under uncultured bacterium. Its description in RNAcentral is "partial 16S ribosomal RNA". It matches the Rfam family "Bacterial small subunit ribosomal RNA", at positions 28 to 507 of the family's 1533-position model. The record is from RNAcentral.